AAAUUGAAGAGUUUGAUCAUGGCUCAGAUUGAACGCUGGCGGCAGGCCUAACACAUGCAAGUCGAACGGUAGCACAGAGAGCUUGCUCUCGGGUGACGAGUGGCGGACGGGUGAGUAAUGUCUGGGAAACUGCCCGAUGGAGGGGGAUAACUACUGGAAACGGUAGCUAAUACCGCAUAACGUCGCAAGACCAAAGUGGGGGACCUUCGGGCCUCACACCAUCGGAUGUGCCCAGAUGGGAUUAGCUAGUAGGUGGGGUAACGGCUCACCUAGGCGACGAUCCCUAGCUGGUCUGAGAGGAUGACCAGCCACACUGGAACUGAGACACGGUCCAGACUCCUACGGGAGGCAGCAGUGGGGAAUAUUGCACAAUGGGCGCAAGCCUGAUGCAGCCAUGCCGCGUGUAUGAAGAAGGCCUUCGGGUUGUAAAGUACUUUCAGCGAGGAGGAAGGCGUUGUGGUUAAUAACCACAGCGAUUGACGUUACUCGCAGAAGAAGCACCGGCUAACUCCGUGCCAGCAGCCGCGGUAAUACGGAGGGUGCAAGCGUUAAUCGGAAUUACUGGGCGUAAAGCGCACGCAGGCGGUUUGUUAAGUCAGAUGUGAAAUCCCCGGGCUCAACCUGGGAACUGCAUUUGAAACUGGCAAGCUUG
Molecule: ribosomal RNA, 652 nt
Filed under: Salmonella enterica
Lineage: Bacteria; Pseudomonadati; Pseudomonadota; Gammaproteobacteria; Enterobacterales; Enterobacteriaceae
Also listed under: 1 other name
Description: bacterial SSU rRNA
Rfam family: Bacterial small subunit ribosomal RNA
Source: RNAcentral